This 245-nucleotide ribosomal RNA is filed under the name uncultured bacterium. Its description in RNAcentral is "partial small subunit ribosomal RNA". It matches the Rfam family "Bacterial small subunit ribosomal RNA", at positions 26 to 285 of the family's 1533-position model. The record is from RNAcentral.
AGAAUCAACGCUGGCGGCGUGCCUAACACAUGCAAGUCGCACGAGAAAGUGGAGCAAUCCAUAAGUACAGUGGCGCACGGGUGAGUAACACGUGAAUUAUCUACCUCCGAGUGGGGAAUAACUGAGAGAAAUCUUAGCUAAUACCGCAUAACACUUACGAGUCAAAGCAGCAAUGCGCUUGGAGAGGAGUUCGCGGCCGAUUAGUUAGUUGGCGGGGUAAUAGCCCACCAAGACGAUGAUCGGUA